This 491-nucleotide ribosomal RNA is filed under the name Parnassius simo. RNAcentral's name for it is "partial 16S ribosomal RNA". The record is from RNAcentral. RNAcentral also lists the same sequence under 1 other name. Lineage: Eukaryota; Metazoa; Arthropoda; Insecta; Lepidoptera; Papilionidae.
UUUUGAUUAAUAAUUUAAAGUCUAAUCUGCCCACUGAUAAUAUAUUAAAGGGCUGCAGUAUUUUGACUGUACAAAGGUAGCAUAAUCAUUAGUCUCUUAAUUGGUGACUUGUAUGAAAGAUUUGAUGAAAUAUAUACUGUCUCUAAUUAAUUUAUAAAAUUUAAUUUUUUAGUUAAAAAGCUAAAAUAAAUUUAAAAGACGAGAAGACCCUAUAGAGUUUAAUAUUUAUAUAAAUUGAGAUUUUAUAUAAGAAUUAUAAUUUUAAUAAUAUAUAAAUAUUUUGUUGGGGUGAUAAAAAAAUUAAAAUAACUUUUUUUAUAUUUUUACAUUUAUAAAUGAAUAAAUGAUCCAUAAUUUAUGAUUAUAAGAAAAAAUUACCUUAGGGAUAACAGCGUAAUUUUUUUUUUUAGUUCAAAUAAGAAAAAGAGUUUGCGACCUCGAUGUUGGAUUAAGAUAAAAUUUAAAUGCAAAAGUUUAAAAUUUUUGAUCUG